This 252-nucleotide ribosomal RNA is filed under the name uncultured bacterium. RNAcentral describes it as "partial 16S ribosomal RNA". It matches the Rfam family "Bacterial small subunit ribosomal RNA", at positions 524 to 776 of the family's 1533-position model. The record is from RNAcentral.
UACGGAGGAUGCGAGCGUUAUCCGGACUUAUUGGGUUUAAAGGGUGCGUAGGCGGGAUGCCAAGUCGGCGGUAAAAAUGCGGUGCUCAACGCCGUCGAGCCGUUGAAACUGGCGUUCUUGAGUGGGCGAGAAGUAUGCGGAAUGCGUGGUGUAGCGGUGAAAUGCAUAGAUAUCACGCAGAACUCCGAUUGCGAAGGCAGCAUACCGGCGCCCUACUGACGCUGAGGCACGAAAGCGUGGGUAUCGAACAGG